Molecule: ribosomal RNA, 216 nt
Filed under: Glomeromycotina sp.
Lineage: Eukaryota; Fungi; Glomeromycota
Description: partial small subunit ribosomal RNA
Rfam family: Eukaryotic small subunit ribosomal RNA (bases 40-216)
Source: RNAcentral
GGGUCAGUAGGUUGGUCGUGCCACCGGUACGUACUGGUCUCACUGAUUCCUCCUUCCUGAAGAACCGUAAUGCCAUUAAUUUGGUGUUGCGGGGAAACAGGGCUGUUACUUUGAAAAAAUUAGAGUGUUUAAAGCAAGCUAACGCUUGAAUACAUUAGCACGGAAUAAUGAAAUAGGACGAUCGAUCCUAUUUUGUUGGUUUCUAGGAUUGACGUA